This 643-nucleotide long non-coding RNA is filed under the name Mustela putorius furo (domestic ferret). RNAcentral's name for it is "lncRNA (ENSMPUG00000029640.1)". Lineage: Eukaryota; Metazoa; Chordata; Mammalia; Carnivora; Mustelidae. The record is from RNAcentral.
AUGGCAAAACCAAGACUAUCACUAGUGUUCUUUUUUCUAUUACAUCACACUUUGGCUUUUCUGUGCCCAUUCUUCUUUCUUGUUAAUGAAUCAUCUAGCCUUACCCACUUCCUUCCUAGCUUUUUUGAUCUCUGUCCCUUCCUUCCCAUCCCCAGUGCUGUCACCAAGUCCAGGCACCGGUUGCCCUUGCCUAGAAGAUGGUGGUUGACUGACUGGCCUCAGGACUGCCUGUCUCUCUUCCUGCAACUGGGCAGCUAUGAGAACAAAGGACAUGGAGUGAUCUUCAGGGCACUGUACUGGCUCCACAUUCCUAGAGAUGCACUUCGUCCCAUGAAGGCUUUAUUUUAAUAGACAUUUAGUUACACAUCCUAUGAAGUAAGAAAGAGAAAUGAAUGAAUCUUGCUGAAAGAAAAAAAAAAAACUUGAAGAACUACACCUGUGCAAUGACACGUUCAGCUAUUAUGUCCUAAAGAUAUAACACAUUCCUUACAUUGUCAACGAGGGAAAGAUAAUUUAUGUGGUGCUCCCUAAAUACCAUGUUUGUUGCACCAAACUAUGGGAAAGAUUUAUUUGUUUUUCACUUGAAAUCACUGUGAAUCUUAUUACCCCAAAGACAUAAAUAGACUCCAUAUUUCUGGCAUUC